RNAcentral lists this long non-coding RNA (1146 nucleotides) under Zonotrichia albicollis (white-throated sparrow). Its description in RNAcentral is "lncRNA (ENSZALG00000010460.1)". Lineage: Eukaryota; Metazoa; Chordata; Aves; Passeriformes; Passerellidae. The record is from RNAcentral.
AAGGGAAUUAAAAUGCUAUCACUGGAAAUAUUUUUUUUUUCAUUAACAAAUCAGUGUCUUAAAUUGCAAGCUAAAGUUUUAAAAACACUGCAGUAUUUUUUAUCAAAGAGGAGACAUUUAUUUUAUCAAUUAAACCCAUAACAAAACUCCCAUUAUACUGACACAGCAGUACCAAAAAGAGCAACCCCCCUUCCUGCAUACACACUAAUGCACACAUACAAACACACACUCCUUUUACCCAAAGCUGGCAGAAAAGACCCACAGAUCCAAAGGGAGGGGCCAAAGGAGCAACAAACCCAAAUAUCAACAUCAGAAAAAGAUAUCCCUCAGCAAAGCUGUAUUUGGAAGACAGUGUCAUGUUGUUAACAUGCUGGGUCCAUGGAACUACACAAUUACGUAGUAAAAAGAAACUAAAAGGAAGGGGUAGUGAAGAAGAUUUGAAACUAUCAUUUUAGGACUCUAUUUUCACUAAGCAGAGAUGUAGGAAAUAGUGAGGACUGUAGUAAAGAGAUCAAAUAUUCUUGGAAGAAGAUCUUUAUAUAAACAAUUGAAUCGUUCCUAUUUGGUUUUAUACAGAUUUUAUAAGCCCCGAAAUAACCCUUUUAAGCAUUUAAUUUCAUAACUAAUUAAUUUUCUGCAGCAAGGAACUACAACAAACUUGGAACAAUUUCCUUAAAUGAAGAGACAGCUGAUGGCUCAGGUUUCCCAACACUGCUCAUCCUCAGCCUCAGGAUUCAGUGACAAACUUCACCACUGAUGUCCCCAUGCAGCAGUCUCAGCAAGGCAACCACCUGCAUUUACCUUGAAAAAAUGGAAAAUAUAAUUCUGUCCCUACAAAGGGAGGCCAACAGCUUUAUGGUAAUACCAGCAGUAUGCCAGUCCUCAAAGUCAGGAGGAAGAAUCCAUUUAAAUGCCAGGACUAACUGAGGCUCUUCAAGACCCAUCUCUAUGACACGCAGCUUUCUGCGGCAGCUCUUCCAGCAGGCCGGCUGUGCUGCAGGGCCAGGAGGGCAGCUGUUCAUGAGGAGCACAGUCCCAGCACAAGGGCUCCUGCAGGAGCAUUCACACCUCCAGCCAACGCCGUUGGCAUCGGCGCUGCCAGCAGGAUCCGGCAGAUUUCCGCUCCUUCCAACUCCUAUCGUGUGA